AAAGAAUGACAGAAUAUAGUCCGGGAGCCAAAGGCCAGCAUCUUGGUGAACCUGGUUUUGUCGUUUAAAGUUUUUUUCUUUGCUGUUUCUUGUUG
Alosa sapidissima (American shad) is the source of this 95-nucleotide long non-coding RNA. RefSeq lists it as uncharacterized. The transcript is spliced from 3 exons. The record is from RefSeq and is a predicted model, not a curated record. NCBI's taxonomy places the organism in Eukaryota, Metazoa, Chordata, Actinopteri, Clupeiformes, Clupeidae.